Arabidopsis lyrata subsp. lyrata is the source of this 367-nucleotide long non-coding RNA. RefSeq lists it as uncharacterized. Lineage: Eukaryota; Viridiplantae; Streptophyta; Magnoliopsida; Brassicales; Brassicaceae. The transcript is spliced from 2 exons. The record is from RefSeq and is a predicted model, not a curated record.
GUCUUCUAACAAACAAGAGUGUGAAAUCUGAGCGUCAAGAUGUUAAUCCAUGAUAAGUUACAAACUUGUUUCAGCCGUUCUGUGCUGUGCCAUUCUUAACUGGUUUUUGCACCAGCAACAAUGAAGAGAGUUUCACGAGUAUGACUUACGGUUCUCAUGCAAUGGCCUCUAUCUUAUUGAUAAUGAAAUAAGUUGUUAAAGGUCUGUAGGUUGCUGCAUGUCAGUUUUGAGAGAAAUUGGAUUUGGAAUUGAGAGGGCCCCAAAUAUAAAUACACUUACAUACUUUGUUACAUAGACUGGUUGUGUAACGACUAGUGAGUCUGUAAGCUUUAAACCCCAAUUCUUGAAAGUAAGUGACAUUUGACAA